CUAUAAUUUGUCCACCUAAAAGUAGAGGAAUGCACAGGAAGUGAUGCAAAGAAGCAUCUUUAAAAGGAAUCACAACUUCCUGUGAGGAGUUCAUCUUUCCUCAGAGUUCUGAAUUCCAGUUGGAGGCUGAUGAAGAAUCUGUUUACUGGACCUGAGACCUUGGACUUGGUGAAACUGUUCUUAAAUCUCUCCCUUUGAAAUAUCACAUGGGCUUUUCUCUCCUUUUGAUGACUGUGGUGCAGAUGAGGCCUGGGAGGUCCAUGAGCCCUGGACUGAUGGGACCCCUUGGUGUCCAGAAUUUCAUGGAUAAAGAAGCUGUUGAGGAUUCAUUGUCCAUAGUGGAGCCCAGACUGAAACCAGAAAGAAGGAAAGAAAGAAGGAAGAAGGGAGAAAAAAUGGGAGGAAUGAAGAAUCAUAGGGAAAGAAGGUAAUAGAAUCAUUUAUCACAUGCCAGGAACUAUGUUAAGUGUUUUACAAUUUUUAUCUCAUUUGCUUCUCACAACAACCCUGUGAGGUUGGUACUGUUAUUAAUCCCAUUUUACAGUUGAGGAAACUGAGGCAAAGAGAAGUUAAGAG
RNAcentral lists this long non-coding RNA (576 nucleotides) under Monodelphis domestica (gray short-tailed opossum). RNAcentral's name for it is "lncRNA (ENSMODG00000050714.1)". The record is from RNAcentral. Lineage: Eukaryota; Metazoa; Chordata; Mammalia; Didelphimorphia; Didelphidae.